Non-coding RNA from Xenopus laevis (African clawed frog), 292 nucleotides. Lineage: Eukaryota; Metazoa; Chordata; Amphibia; Anura; Pipidae. The record is from Rfam.
CCCAAGUGAUGAACCAAGGCAAAUCUGAAUCUUCUCUUCUGAGUGCGACCUCUAUAACCUUGGUCUGUAAUCUUGGUGGCUGCGGAGAAGCUUUUCCCUGUUGCUGUAAGGCCAGACCAAUAGUAUUGCUUAUUGCUUGGCCCACGACUGAUCACAAUCUGUGCAUGAGAGUGAGUGUGCAGCUACCAGCUGGGCCUACACAGAGCUACAAGAGCAAAGGAUGCAGAUUAGAGGUCAUUGCUCUGAUAGGGAGAGUUACACAUGACAGUUCAUCUUUGGUAAUCUGAUGGGA